This 460-nucleotide ribosomal RNA is filed under the name uncultured bacterium. Its description in RNAcentral is "partial 16S ribosomal RNA". It matches the Rfam family "Bacterial small subunit ribosomal RNA", at positions 338 to 795 of the family's 1533-position model. The record is from RNAcentral.
CCUACGGGAGGCAGCAGUGAGGAAUAUUGGUCAAUGGGCUUACGCCUGAACCAGCCAAGUCGCGUGAGGGAAGACUGCCCUAUGGGUUGUAAACCUCUUUUGUCAGGGAGCAACGCCGGCUACGUGUAGCCGGACUGAGAGUACCUUAAGAAAAAGCAUCGGCUAACUCCGUGCCAGCAGCCGCGGUAAUACGGGGGAUGCGAGCGUUAUCCGGAUUUAUCGGGUUUAAAGGGUGCGUAGGCGGAAUGCCAAGUCAGCGGUAAAAUCGCGGGGCUCAACCCCGCUCCGCCGUUGAAACUGGCGGUCUUGAGUGGGCGAGAAGUAUGCGGAAUGCGUGGUGUAGCGGUGAAAUGCAUAGAUAUCACGAAGAACUCCGAUUGCGAAGGCAGCAUACCGGCGCCCAACUGACGCUGAAGCACGAAAGCGUGGGUAUCGAACAGGAUUAGAUACCCCAGUAGUC